RNAcentral lists this ribosomal RNA (443 nucleotides) under uncultured bacterium. RNAcentral describes it as "partial 16S ribosomal RNA". It matches the Rfam family "Bacterial small subunit ribosomal RNA", at positions 338 to 795 of the family's 1533-position model. The record is from RNAcentral.
CCUACGGGAGGCAGCAGUGGGGAAUAUUGGGCAAUGGGCGCAAGCCUGACCCAGCAACGCCGCGUGAAGGAAGAAGGCUUUCGGGUUGUAAACUUCUUUUAUCAGGGACGAAGCAAGUGACGGUACCUGAUGAUUAAGCCACGGCUAACUACGUGCCAGCAGCCGCGGUAAUACGUAGGUGGCAAGCGUUAUCCGGAUUUACUGGGUGUAAAGGGCGUGUAGGCGGGAGUGCAAGUCAGAUGUGAAAACUAUGGGCUCAACCCAUAGCCUGCAUUUGAAACUGUACUUCUUGAGUGCUGGGGAGGCAAUCGGAAUUCCGUGUGUAGCGGUGAAAUGCGUAGAUAUACGGAGGAACACCAGUGGCGAAGGCGGAUUGCUGGACAGUAACUGACGCUGAGGCGCGAAAGCGUGGGGAGCAAACAGGAUUAGAUACCCGAGUAGUC